UUUUUGUAUUAUGUACUUCUAGUAGGGGUUGUCCAUGUUUCAAAAAUGACUUUAUCAGAAUUUGUCAAGUAAAACCAUUACAAGGCACCCUCCUUUCUAUGUCAUGAGAGAAUCUUACAACUACUGAAUUUAGUUGGCUUUGGUGUUAAGAAAUAAAAUCUAGACAUGUGAAUAAUACCACAAGAGUCCACAAAAAGAAACAGAUUUUCCUACAAAUCUGAAAAAACAGAAAGCUGUAAAUUAAAGUAGCUGUCAUUUUCAACUGUUUGUUUCAUACACGACUGCACUAAACAAGUCCAACAUUUUGAUUAAUAACAAACCUAAACCCAGAGGAAAGAAGGGGCUAUCAGCUUACAAACUACUUCAGCUUUAAUAUUACACUAUUUAGCAUGGCUGGUUACUCAGCAAUAAUAUUUAAUCUUUAAUUGAAAUAAAAACAUAAUCAAAAUGCUUCUCCCAUUUAUCUUUCAACAUGCUUUGGUCACUUCAUUUUAAAAAGCAAAACAAAACAAUUAUUAUGAUUUUCAGCAUAAUAAACUCCUGACCUGUGUGCCUUCAUAAAUCACAGACUGCAUGAAUUGAAAGCAUGCCCACAUUUUACAGUCUCCUAUGAGAAUAUACACGCAGACUUAUUAUACAGACUUAAUUCAAGUACAUAAGGUCUGGUAGUUUAUAGCCCUGUAUGUACUAAUAACUCAAUACUAUCCACUCUGUGGCUGCUCA
RNAcentral lists this long non-coding RNA (723 nucleotides) under Bos taurus (domestic cattle). RNAcentral's name for it is "long non-coding RNA NONBTAT012212". Lineage: Eukaryota; Metazoa; Chordata; Mammalia; Artiodactyla; Bovidae. The record is from RNAcentral.